GGAAGAAAUAUAUCUAGUGCGAUUAUUUUGGACAGCUUGAUAUUAGAAUACUUGAUGGUGGCAUUUCUGUGAUCUGUGUAAUUUGUUUAUUUACUUAUUUAUUUGCCUUCAUGUAUAGAAAAUUGCGUAUCAUGUUUUGGUUUGUAACUGUAAGUUUGUCAUUCCGUGUUGACGCACAUAGUUGGCAAAACUCUCUCAUUUGCAACCAACCAGUAGCAACUGAUUUAGCAUUAGGCACUGAAGGGGAAUUUUUCUUUCAAAACAAGCAGAAAUCCACAUGAAUUAAUUCUUCCAAAAAAGAAAAUUCUUUUACCCCAUAUACUUUGUCUGCUUGCCAACAGGUUAAUAACUGUUUUUUUACACGCACACACAGAUAUUAGACUCGUG
RNAcentral lists this unclassified non-coding RNA (387 nucleotides) under Hevea brasiliensis (rubber tree). The record is from RNAcentral. Lineage: Eukaryota; Viridiplantae; Streptophyta; Magnoliopsida; Malpighiales; Euphorbiaceae.